GGAUGUGAGGGCUAUCUGGCUGCCACAUCUGUCGCCCCAUUUGUCACCAGGGUUGAUUUGGCUGAUCUGCCUGGCUAGGUGGGUGUCCCCUUCCUCCCUUUGUGCUCCGUGUGCAUCCCUCCUGGAGCUGCACAGUCUGGGUCACUCAAUCAAAGAGGAGGACUUUCCUGGAAUAGAGGAGGACCUCUCUUCUCUCAAGGGUAUAUGAAUGGCUGCACUCCCCUGCUAGAAGCUCUAAAUAUGGUCUCCUAAUGAAAACCAUAAAAUCCAGAAAGAUACUUGUUUAUUUAUUUAUUUAUUAACAAAUUAUACUAUUUUU
Molecule: small nuclear RNA, 319 nt
Filed under: Jaculus jaculus (lesser Egyptian jerboa)
Lineage: Eukaryota; Metazoa; Chordata; Mammalia; Rodentia; Dipodidae
Description: 7SK RNA (ENSJJAG00000009157.1)
Rfam family: 7SK RNA
About the family: 7SK was discovered as an abundant small nuclear RNA in the mid-70s but a possible function has only recently been suggested. Two independent studies have found that 7SK RNA binds the CDK9/cyclin T complex (known as elongation factor P-TEFb). P-TEFb activates transcription by phosphorylating the C-terminal domain of RNA polymerase II.
Source: Rfam by way of RNAcentral